RNAcentral lists this long non-coding RNA (32106 nucleotides) under Populus trichocarpa (black cottonwood). RNAcentral describes it as "long non-coding RNA (PTRI_LNC004369)". The stretch from base 29439 to 29602 matches the Rfam family "MIR480 microRNA precursor family". Lineage: Eukaryota; Viridiplantae; Streptophyta; Magnoliopsida; Malpighiales; Salicaceae. The record is from RNAcentral.
AGUAAACCAGCUCGACCUAUAUACAGCUACUUGUCUUGUGUAUUGACUGACAAAUUGUAGUUAACAUGGCACGUCAGGCAGACCGUCUUGCUAAGAUUGGGCUGGAGGGCUUUGCAGCCAGAGAUGAGCACUUCGGCCGGGCCAAGAGGCGGCCACCAGUGCUGAAGGUUCCCUAUGCUCAUCCGACAUAUUACUAUGCAAACCAAAUUCCUGCAACAGAAGUUAUCGACACCAACGAGGCAGCUCAACGCUACAAGGGGAGGGUUUAUCUCGAUUAUCCUAAGGGGAAACCAGUUCCGUUUUAAAGACCUAGUGAUUAAUCACUUAGCUUUCUUGUAUGCAUAACCUCCUCCAGUUGUGUUACCUUUAGUCCUGUACGAUAUUCUCCCUCUGCUAAACGUAUACGAGGAGAGGUUGCUAGAACUCGAGUCAGGAGCUUCUUGUUACUUCUUCAAAUAAACUUUCUGUGAUUUAUAUAUCAUUUUCUAUUUGUAUGUAUUGUCAUAAUUAUCACCUCUUACUUAGCAUGGAAUUGAAAGAUACAAUAUGCUCUUGAAAUGCUUUGAAGCUCUUCAAGGUGUGAUUUCACCGACUAAGUUGGAACUGUACAGAGCUCAAUGAUGAGCCGUAGGAGGCGUCUCUGAUUGUUGCACUGUAAGCAUGAGUGUACGUAUGAAUAUAACCAGCAGAUCCGCAAAGCACAAGUGAUGACAAGCUUCUUAACACGGCUACAUUUAACAGUUUUACCAACGAAAUUUUUUGUCGGUAUUUACUCUACCAUUCCGUCAGCAUGAAUUUUACCGACUGAUUUACGGACGGAAACAGUCGGUCGAUAAAUUCCUCUUGUCAGUAAUUUUAUUAAUGUCGGUAAAAAAAAACCGAUGGUUUUACAGACAGAAAAUGCAAGCCAAUUUUUUUUCCACUGGAAUAUAAAGACAGAAUUAUUUCUUCGGUGAUUGACAGUGGCAUAUGGAGUAAUUUUAUUCCAAACCCUCUAUAAAAUACCGAAGGAAUUAUUCCAUCGGUGAUGUAACAGUUGAAAUGGCAUAUGCAGUAAUUAUUUUUCAACUCUCUGGAAUAUAACGACCAACAAAGUUUGUCGGUAACUCUGUCCGUAAUAAUUAAAAAAUAUAUUUUAUACAAAAUUGUAUAAAAUUCAAGUAUGUGAAAAUAAAUUACCUAUGCUCAUCCGACAUAUUACUAUGCAAACCAAAUUCCUGCAACAGAAGUUAUCGACAGCAACGAGGCAGCUCAACGCUACAAGGGGAGGGUUUAUCUCGAUUAUCCUAAGGGGAAACCAGUUCCGUUUUAAAGACCUAGUGAUUAAUCACUUAGCUUUCUUGUAUGCAUAACCUCCUCUAGUUGUGUUACCUUUAGUCCUGUACGAUAUUCUCCCUCUGCUAAACGUAGACGAGGAGAGGUUGCUAGAACUCGAGUCCGGAGCUUCUUCUUGCUUCAUCAAAUAAAAUUUCUGUGAUUUAUAUAUUAUAAUUUUCUAUUUGGCUGGUCAAGUAUGCAUUGUCAUAAAUAUCACUCUGCUUCCCUGAUUAUUACCUUAUUCACCUAUUACUUAGCAUGAAAUAUUGAAAGAUUAAUGCAGUCGGAAGCACAACAAUAUAGCUGCAAGCAUAGAAAGACAAAAGAUAAACUGAAAUAAUGUUAAAACACUGAGAAUCCUAAAACCUUAUUUCUAAAUUAUUAAUUUGAUUAAGUUUACCUUCUAAAGAGGUUUACAAUCUCUUUCAUAGACUAGAAAAAUAGGCCAAGAUUCGAAACAAAAUCAGAAUCCCAAAACAUAACGGAAAAUAACAUAAAAUUUAAAAAUAAACAAUAAAUCUGCGAAAAUUAAGGAAAAAUAACAAAAUUAUCCCAAAUAAUAACUAAUUAGCCUACUUUAUGGAGAUACAAUGCUCUGAUAACUAUUGAGUUGUUUUUAAUGGGAAAACGGUUUGUAGAAUCUUCUAUAAAAAUUUAAACCUGAUUUAACGGUUAGAAUAUCUCCUGUUAUCAUUAUUUUAGGCUAUUAUUCUGGUCUUGCGUGAUGAUGCUUUCUCUUGGCCUAAACAUCUUUCACUAGUACAUGAACAUAUCUGUUAGUAGUCCGUUUAGGGCAAACAAAUAAUUAAUUUGCUGUUCAAAUGCUUUGAAGCUCUUCAAGGUGUGAUUUCACUGAAUAAUUUCGAGUUUAGAAUUAUCACCUCAUUUUAGAAUUGUCCCGAGCACAAGGAUAAAAUGAUGAGCCAUGGGAAGCGUCUCCGAUAAAGAAAUAAUAAACGGAGUUCAAGGUAAAACAAUAGCUUAGAAAAAAAAAAGUAGAAAUUUACACGAUAUCUAAGAAUAUCAGCGAUCAUGACCAUGAUUGGAUCAUUUCUGAGUUCUACAACCAAAAUUUCCUUCACAUCUCUUUAACUAAGCUGAUAGUCGAUGAAGAUUUAAGGAAAAACAUGAUUCCCAAUCCGAGCCAUAUGAGCAAGUGUAUCUAGUAAAAAUAUCUUAUCUCCCAUGAAAAUCAUAUUAGUAAGCCUCCCUCUGAAGCAUUGCUUUACACAUAUCUUUUACAGAAAAAAGAGAAAAAUGGGAAAUGCUCCGAGUUAUACCUUUUCUUGAUCUUUCCCAAUCCUUCAUUAUAAAUGGGACCCAUCAAAAACAUGAGAUGUGCUUUAACUUCCUCCAUAUUUCAUCUUAGCCUAGAAGGAUAAACAAGAAUAUUAUUGCUUCUGAAACAUAACGAUUGCAAGCAUCGCCUUUCGGUGAACUUUAGAUGACAUGAAACUGCCACAAAUUGGGUCCUAUCCGAGAGAGUUUUCUUUUUCUGCUCUGUUAUCACACAUAUACAACUGAAAUCUUUAAGUCCUCUUUAGGGUAUCCCUGAAAGAAAAUGAUCUAUCAUGCAUGGAAAGUCCUGAGGAAUCUGAGGCAUCACUACAUGAAAUUCAACCAACGGAAUUGCCGACAAACUGUUUCUUUCGGUAUUUUGCGGUGAUAUUUACCGACCGAAUUACUUCCCUUGCUAAAACCGUCGGUAUAUAUCGAGUGAAUCCCAGAUAGAAUAUAAAGAAUUUUAAAAAACAAAGCAGUGCAAUGACGUGGAAGUUUUGGUGGAUGAUGUUACUGAUGGAAUUACAGAGUGAUUCAAACUGGGAUGUUCGUACAGUGACGUGUUUACUUCACCGACAGAAUGGCCGAUGGAUUUACAAACAAAAAUAUUAUGUCGGUAAUUCCAUCGAUAAUAGUUAAUAUAUUGAAUGUUUUUUUAGUGUUUACUUGUUUUAUUACUUUUCUCAAACAAACAUGUAGUAUGGAUUUAUAAUUUUGUACUUGGUAUGGUUUGUUUUAGAUUUUGUAAAAUUAUAUUUGUUUGUAAAUUGUUGAAAUUUAUGUCGAAUUACCGACUUAGGUGUGUUGUGAUGAAAUAAAUAAUGACUUGUUUGAUGGGUCCGUUUUAAUUUUUGUCAAUUUUAUUGCCGAGUUGUAAUUUCUGUAAAUUAAUGUGUCUAAAUUUGUAUGGACGUAGAUAAUUGAUAAUGAAUAUUUAAGAGAAGUUUGAAAGUAAGUUGGAAAUCUUGAGCUAAACCAAUAUUUUUGCAAAUUUAUUUGCUUGACGUAGUUAAUUAAUACAUGUUGUCAUCAUUAUUUUAUAGAGGUUUGAUAGAAGUCAUGGAUGAUCAUUCAUGGAUGUAUCGAGAUUCACCUUAAGAAUUGCGGAGGAUGGAUUAUUAUAAUAGGGUUCAGAGUUUUAUUAAUUUCGCAACAUCUAUUUCGAGAAAUUUUAGUGGAGACGGUAUUAAGUGUCCAUACAGGAGGUGUAAAAAUAAAAAGUUUUUGCAUCCAGAUGUUGUAACGAUGUAUCUUCUACACAAAGGGUUCAUGGAGGAUUACUUGUGUUGGUAUGCACACAAAGAAUUAUUUGUUCGUAACAAGAGCAUGGUAGAAAGGAUGGUUGGGUCAACUUCUAGUGCUAGCAAUGUGCAUGGAGUUGUAAAUGACAAUAGUAAUCCUUACAGGAAUAUGGUUAUGGAUUCAAUGAGAAUGAAUCAAGAUAAUGCUAGUCAAUGUCCAAUUGUAGAAGAAGAUGCUAGUCAAUGUCCAAUUGUAGAAGAAGAACCUAAUGCAGACGCGGCCAGGUUUUUUGAUUUGUUGAAAGAUUCUGAUGAACCAUUAUGGGAUGGCUGCACAAAUCACUGUAAAUAAUCAGUUGUUGCAUAUGUGUUCACUAUCAAGUCAGAUUAUGGGUUGAGUGAGGCCGGUUAUGACAAAAUUAUCGAAUGGGCGAGAAGCAUUCUACUUGAAGGGAACAAGCUGAAAGAGAACUUCUAUGCUACUAAGUCCAUGAUGAAACCCCUCGGUUUAGGAUACUAGAAAAUUGACAUGUGUCCAAACUUUUGCAUGAUGUACUACCUUGAAAAUGCUGAGCUAACCGAGUGCAUGGCAUGAGAGCAUUCCCGUUACAAAUCCAGAACUGGCAUGGGAAAGACUCUUAUGGCAUAUAAAAAACUUAGAUACUUCCCAAUCACGCCUAGACUGUAGAGGUUAUUCAUGUCACCAAAGACUACUGAGCACAUGAUAUAGCACCAAUCACUUGAUGCAGUGGAUGGAGUGAUAGUGCAUCCUUCUGACGGUGAAGCAUGGAAACACUUUAACAGUGUGCAUUCUCAUUUUUCAGCUGAAUCAAGGAACGUGCAUCUUGGGUUAUGUACAGAUGAAUUCAACCCAUUCAGGUCAUUUGUUGAUCCUUAUUCUUGUUGGCCGAUUAUACUCACGGUUUACAACUUACCACUCUUAUGGCAACAGUUGCUCCUUCUUCACAAUACUUAUGGAACAAAGACUUGUUAAGUGCUUGACUAACGGACUGUUUUUCUCAAAGCUUUUAGUUUGGUUGACCUGAAACUUUGUUUUCGUAGCAAUCCCCAUCAACGGAAACUACGAUCAAACUGUGUACAAUUUGGUUAUCUUGAAAUCGCAAUCUAGUGAUUUGCUUAAUCCAAAACCAAAAUCAAUGCCAAAGUUCGGUCAACCUGAGAUCCCAAUUUGGCGAUCCGCUUUAACUAGAACUAAAAUAUGAAAAGUAGCUCGGUAACCUGAAAUCCCAAUCUGGCGAUUCACUUUAACCAGAACCUUGGUCUUUGUCGUUAAGUUGGUCAACCUAAAAUCCCAAUACGACGAUUCUCUUUAAUAAGAACCAAAAUGUCGCCUUUAGCUUAGUUAAUCUGAAAUCUCAAUCUAGAGACCCCCUUUAACCAAAACCUUGGUCUUUAUCCUUAGCUCGGUCAACCUGAGAUCCCAAUCUAGUGAUUUCCUUUAACCAAAACCAAAAUGUCACCUUAAGCUUGGUUAACCUGAAAUCUCAAUCUACAGAUCCCCUUUAAUCAGAACCUUGAUCUUUGUCUUUAGCUCAGUCAACUUGAGAUCCUAAUCUAGCUAUUCCCUUUAAUUAGAACAAAAAUGUCACCUUCAGCAUGGUUAACCUGAAAUCUCAAUCUAGAGACCCCCUUUAACCAGAACCUUGGUCUUUGUCUUCAGUUCGGCAAACCUAAAAUCCCAAUCUGAUGAUUCGUUUUAACCAGAACCAAAAUGUUGCCUUAAGCUUGGUUAACCUAAAAUCUCAAUAUAGAGACCCCCUUUAACUAAAACCUUGGUCUUUGUCUUUAGCUCAUUCAACCUGAGAUCCCAAUCCGACAAUCCUAUUUAACUAGAACCAAAAUGUUUCUUUCAGUUUGGUUAACCUGAAAUCUCAAUCGAGUGACUCCCUUUAAUCAAGCGAUUCCCUUUAACUAAAACCAAAAUGUUGCCUUCAACUCGGUUAACCUAAAAUCUCAAUUUAGAGACCCCUCUUUAACUAGAACCUUAGUCUUUUUUUUUUAGCUCGGUCAACUUGAGAUCCCAAUCUUAUGAUCCCAUUUAACAAGAACCAAAAUAUUGCCUUCAACUCGGUUAACCUAAAAUCUCAAUUUAGGGAACUCUCUUUAACUAGAACCUUAGUCUUUUUCUUUAGCUCGGUCAACUUGAGAUUCCAAUCCUACGAAUCUUGAAACAUCAUCCCCUUCUUAGUCCUACUUUGAUUUGCCAAAAAAAUGGAAAAGAAUGAAUGAUAUGGUGGAGAACUAGACCGGUCUUUACCAUUGGCUAGAACCAACCAUAGGCUGCUUAGAAAGCAACCUUCAACACCUAAAAACAAACCACCACAUAACAACCCUGCAAUUAUCAACAACAACAUCUAGUUCUAGCUACCUAGUCUAUGUCAAAGAAUAGAAUCUGAGGCAACUUUUUGACCAAAAUUCCAUUCUCUAUUAUUCCUUCAAUAUUGGGGUUUAAUGCAAGCAACUUGUUUAUUCGGAUUUGAGAUGUAAAUAGAUUUUAAUUUUGUUAGGAUGAGGUGGUCAGGUUGCGUCACAUUGAUUAUGUCAUGAAGUUAACUAGAGUAAGAAAUAAAGAUAUCAAGUUUCGGAGAGAAUCAAGAUCAGUUAAAGCAAAAAAAAAAAAAAACAGAUUAUGAAAAUAAAUUGGAAACGAAAAGUUUAGUUAUAAGGAAUUAGAUUCACAAACAAAUUUAAGUCUCAUCAAUUCUAGGAAACAAGUUGGAAGGAAUCAAUUUUACAAAAAUUGACCUUCGCACUAGAGAGAACCUUCGAGCCACUUCAAAUGUACUGAAGGCCAUUUGUUUGCCAUAUGUGCUAAUUAAGAACAUAAUUCUAUUCUUUUGUGAGUUAAUAUUCUGUAAAAUAAGCUUGGAAUAGCUUGCGGGGGCUUGGCUCAGAGAUCAUUGAGUUUUUACUACAAAUUGCCUUUUAAUUUUUUUCCACCUGUAAUUGGAUUCGAUAAGUUUCCCUUUUGUUUACAUAUGAAGAACAAACAUUGCUUGAGGUUAUCCAAUGCCGAGAUCAAGGUCAGAUAAUACUAGCGAACCCCUAAUCAGGAUUAAGAAGCAAAAAAAAUGUUAAGUGCAGCUUAUCCAAUGCCGAGACCAAGGUCAGAUAAUAUCCUGAUUGUGCUUAUUGCCAUUAAUUAGAAACUGCAAUAUCGUCACAUAAUUAAACUGAGAUUAUUCUGAUUAGAGAACAGAAGGAAUCUUCUUUCAUAAUUGGCUUUUGCGAAGGUUUAGUGUUUUUGCUGCUACUGCUUUUGGACCUGACUUGAUUCCUGAUCGGUCGAAAAAGCAUUAGUCCAAAAGCAGGGAAGCUUUUGUUUUCUUUAAUCACAUGAUCAGAUAUUAUAAUUUAUGCCCAACACAAAUUCAUAAAAGUGGCUCUAAGAUUGGCUGACAACAGUUGUUAAUGAGCAGUGUUUGCAUCCCUUAUUUUUCAGUUUACUAAGUAUUUAGAACAUUCAAUUCCAAUCCAAAGUCGAUAAUAAUAAACUCUUGGUAAUGGUUUUGUCAUCGAUGGUGAUCGGACGACAAAAAAACCAGUAAAAUUGUUUUAUAUAAAAAGUUUAUUAAGUAUUGAAAACAUCCAAAUCUAACAUGUUUUACUUUUUUGUGUUUAAAUAUGAUAUUAAUAAACUUUUGGUGAUAUUUUUUUUUUCAUUUUGUGAUGCUUUUAUCGUCAGUAGUGAUAAGAUGAAGAAAAGCUAUUGAUUUUUCUCUCAGCAAUGGUUUGUUUUAUCGUACACAAAUGUUGGGUGCUUUUAUUUACAAAAAGGAGUACUGUCUACCAUUAUUCAUUCCACAGCUGUUGUCAACCAAACCUUUCCUUUCUAUAUAAAGGUGGCUUGGCCUCCUACAUAUUAGCCAAAGCAAGAAAACCAACAAAACCUAUAAACAGCUACUUGUCUUUGUGUGUUGAUUAAUUGUAGUUAACAUGGCACGUCAGGCAGAUCGUCUUGUUAAGAUUGGGCAGGAGGGUUUUGCAACCAUUGAUGAGCACUUCGGCCGGGCCAAGAGGCGGCCACCAGUUAUGAAGGUUCCCUAUGCUCAUCCCACAUAUUACUAUGCAACAGAAGUUAUCGACAGCAACGAGGCAGCUCAACGCUACAAGGGGAGGGUUUAUGUCGAUUACCCUAAGGGUAAACCAGUUCCGUUUUAAAGACCUAUUGAUUAAUCACUUAGCUUUCUUGUAUGCAUAACCUCCUCCAGUUGUGUUACCUUUAGUCCUGUACGAUAUUCUCCCUCUGCUAAACGUAGACGAGGAGAGGUUGCUAGAACUCGAGUCAGGAGCUUCUUCUUACUUCUUCAAAUAAACUUUCUGUGAUUUAUAUAUCAUUUUCUAUUUGUAUGUAUUGUCAUAAUUAUCUUUCUUACUUCCUCAUUAUCACCUCUUACUUAGCAUGGAAUUGAAAGAUACAAUAUGCUCUUGAAAUGCUUUGAAGCUCUUCAAGGUGUGAUUUCACCGACUAAGUUUGGAACUGUACAGAGCUCAAUGAUGAGCCGUGGGAGGCGUCUCUGAUUGUUGCACUGUAAGCAUGAGUGUACGUAUGAAUAUAACCAGCAGAUCCGCAAACCACAAGUGAUGACAAGCUUCUUAACACUGCUGCAUUUAACAGUUUUACCAACAAAAUGUUUUGUCGGUAUUUACUCUACCAUUCCGUCAGCAUGAAUUUUACCGACUGAUUUACGGACGGAAACAGUCCAUUGGUAAAUUCCUCUUGUCAGUAAUUUCAUUAAUGUCGGUACAAAAAAACCCGAUGGUUUUACAGAUAGAAAAUGCAAGCCAAUUGUUUUUCCACUGGAAUAUACAGACGGAAUUAUUUCUUCGGUGAUUGACAGUGGCAUAUGGAGUAAUUUUAUUCCAAACCCUCUAUAAAAUACCGAAGGAAUUAUUCCAUCGGUGAUGUAACAGUUGAAAUGGCAUAUGCAGUAAUUAUUUUUCAACUCUCUGGAAUAUAACGACCAACAAAGUUUGUCGGUAACUUCGUCCGUAAUAAUUAAAAAAUAUAUAUAUUUUUAAAAAUUAUUUAUUGAACAAAAAAAGAAAAUAAUAAAAAAUAUAAAAUUGUAUAAAAUUCAAGUAUGUAAAAAUAAAUUACCUUAGUAUAAAAGCCAAAUAUUCAUUACAAAUUUAUAUGUUCAAAUAAAAUUAAACUAGAAAAAUGGCGGCGUUGGAGGAGGCUGAUCGUUCCCGGGACCAUAUGGCCAAAAAGAGUGUCGCACGUGACCCGCGCGGCGUCCGAUGGUGAUUUUUUCGUUAUGCGUUUGCUUGAUUGGUUCGUUGGGAGUCGCCACCUAGUAUUUAAUUGAGGGCAACUAGGAAACCCGGGUGUACUGGUCUUGUCAGAGAUUCACGGGUAAGGGACUGGUUGUGGUUAGGGAAGGUAUUUGCACCCCUAACGCACCCUACCUGAGGUAAGCUGCUUCGUGGCUUUGAUGUGAUAAAGAAGUUUUAAAAAUUUUGUUCUUUCAUCGGGUAUUAGAAAUACGACUUACAUGUAAGUUCAUAAUUCUUGACCGUGAUCAAAUCAAAAUAUUAAAUUCUUCUUUAUUCUUUGCAAUUUUAUCAUAAAAAAAAUACAUUUAUAAAAAAAAAACUACAAACAAACACAUUCACUUUCACUAUAUUUUUUCUUUUCUUUUUCUUUUUUUUCUUUUUCACAUCUAUAUUACAAAAAUUCAAAACUAAACAAAAAUUACAUUAAAUAAUUUGAAAUUACAAAAAUAGCCCAAAAACAAGUCCAUAACAGUGCUGGGAAGCUUUCUGGAACUGCAUGCAGUGUUGAAGAAGGUUCCUGAACAGUUGAACAGUGCGUCGCCACGAGAAAUUCCAGGCAGCAGGGGGCGCUGCUGCGGCUUCCUCCCCUCUUCACUUCCCUGCCGGCGGUUAGGGUCUUCAUCACCUGCAAAAGAAUAAAACACCCAAACCAGUUGAUUUUAAUUUUUCUUUCUUUUUCGGAUCUGUUUCGGUCUUCUCCUUUUCAGAUCUACUUCACCGCAGAUCUUUCUUUGGUUUACAUCUUCUUCUCCUUCGCUUCAGGUGGCCGGUAGUUGGGCGGCGACGGCGCUGGAUUCAGGUUGUUGCUUUGGCCGCUGCAAUUGGUGGCUGAAGGAAAUGGCGUGGAUCUGUGGGCUGCCGUGUGCUGGCUGCUGUGGCUGACGGUGUGGGCGGCGCUGAUGGGAGGAGGAAAUGAAGGAAAAAGUCGGGGGGAAAAGGGAGGCAAAUCUGUUCUGGGGUUGCAGGUCUGCAGCAAUAGUGGAAGGAAAUGGGGGAGAUCGGCUGGCUGGGGGGCUGGUCUCUUUCGGCCGGUUCUGAUUUGCUUUUGGAUGAGGGGCGUGAGUGGUGGCUUCUGUUGAUAAGGGGAAAGGAAGGCUUGUGCGGGGAAGAUGAAGAUGACCGGGAGGGGAGCGGCCAAGGAAGAAGAAAAAAAUCAAAAACCAGCGGGGGGCGGUGUCUGCUCUUUUGUUUUGCCAAGUGGGGAGCGCUGCUGUUUGGGUAAAGAUAGGUUUAGGUUUAGGGUUAGGGUUUCUUGUAUCUCUCAAUGUGUAAAAUUACCCCCCUUCUCCUUUUGUGUGUUGUGGAGACCAGUAUUUAUAGGUAAAAAUAUUGUUUGGGUUUUUUUUUUUGUAAAUUUGAUUUUUCUUGUUUUUUUUGGAUUUUCUUAUCAACAUCGCCUCGAAUGAGGAAAAUCAGUGAUUUUAAAAAUAACGCGUUAAAAGUCAAACGCGUUCCAAAGAUCUUUGAAAAUUUAAAUUCUUUUGAGACGAUGUUGAAAAUGCUAAAAACGAUGCAAAUAUAUUAAAAAAACAUAUUUUUUUGGAUUUUCGAUGUUUUCGCUAUUUUUGGAUUUUUCUGAAAAUUUAUCAAAAACAUGGGUCAAAAAUUGGGUAGCAACAAAGAGGACGCACAUGUACCACCCAUCUGUGAUCUUAUAUCCAUCGCCAUUCUACGGAGUUCAUAAUAAUCUGCAUAGAGUCGUUCAUAUUCUUCAAUGAGAUAGGUCGUAUGUUGUUGUAAGGUCACGAACUCCUGAGACUGGGUGGUCAAUAUCGAUUGCAAGCUCCCAACGGUUGAGACACUACGGGCCAUCUACAAGUUGGUCGUGGUGUUGGAGAGUUUGCACACCUGAUUUCUAUCUGGUCUACCAGAUGAUCCUACCUCCAUCCACAAAUCUGGAUCGAAAUCCAGGUGGGUCGAAGGAUCGUUCCCGUAUCUCUCCCUUAAUCGUCUGUUAUAUGUCUCCUGGAAAUAAAAAAACUGAAAUCAUCAAAUUUAAUUCAAGUAAAUAAUAAUUUACAAAAGAAAAUGGUUGAACGAACAUACCACAAAGUGUUGAGCGCAGUAGUUAACGAACUGUUGCACCUCUUUUUGGCAGUCUUCACUCUACACGUGCGUCUCCACAAAAAGCUCCAUUGGGCUUGGCUCACGUCUAAGAGCUGUAGUCUGUAAGAAAAAAAUGUUGCAAGUAAAAUAAAUUUAUAAAUAACAACAAAUUAAUUAAAGAUAGAUGUGAUUAAAAUUAUUUUUUUUGUUAUUUUUUUAAUUUUUUAGGCUUUGUUUGGAAAAAAAAACCUAAUUUUUUUGUAAUAAAACUGUCGAAACAAGCAUAAGGGGGUGUUUGCCAAACACACCCUUAAACCAAAAAACCCUUUUAGCAAAAAUAUUGCAAGCUAAACAAGGUCUUAACCCUUUGACCCAUUCUUGACCCAACUGGGUUGACCCAAUCGAGUUGACCUGACUGGGAUGACCUAAAAUCUUUGGUUUCAACCAUAAACCGAACCAAAGAUCCUAGUUUGACCCGAAAACAACUCAAAAAGAAAACAAAAGCCAAAAAACAGAUUAAACACCAAAAAACAUGAAAAAACUUGAAAAUAACGAAUCAAAUGCAAAAAAUAAAAAAAGAACACGAAUAACAUGAAAAACAUUAGAACUCAAAUUCUAGCAACAUGAAUUCUAAUCUAGACCAUAUUUCAGGAAAUAAAAAGCACAUAAAGGAUGGAAAUCAAUCAUUGAACAAUAAUUAAGCAUCAAGCAUCGAUGAUUAUCAACCAAUAAUCACGAUUGAGUCAAAAUAAGUUUUGGUUCAAAACCAAAACCCUAUGAUUAAAACCCCCAUAAAACUUGUUAUUGAUACAAAUGAGCUCUAGACUACUAAUUAAUCAAGUCCAAUGAAGUGUUUAAUGCAAAGGAAUGGACCAAAACUGGUCCAAAACAUAGAGAUAAGCCAAUGUUAUUCCCAAGAACAUAGAACUCUGCCUUAGAAAACCCGGCUAUUGUCAAGCCACCAAAACUGGCAUUUUCAACCACUAAAAAAUGCUUUCUUCAUUUCAAAAAGUCACACUACCAUAACCAAACAUGUUUGAAUAAAAAAUAAAUAAAUAACAUCAAAAGCAUGCAAGAGGUUCAAAACUACAAACUUAAAAUAGCCUAUAUAUUUAUGCAAUUUGGAUUCAAUUUUCUUCCUAAACCUUCAAAAAAACCCAACCAAAACCUAGAAACUAAGAACAUGCAUUAGUCAACAUAAAAAACAUCAUAACCUUGCUGCCACAUCUAGUAGAUUUCAAAAGUACUUUAUUUCAUCAAAACUCAACCAACAAACAUCACUUAAGUAUUCAGAGACAUUAACAAACAACUCAAAGCAGGAUUUAAACAAUAAAACAACCUUUUUAUGUAUUAAUCAAAAUCAAAACUAAAGAACAUCAUAACAGUAAAGCAAGUUUGAAAACAUCAUUAAACAUGUAAAAUAAGUUAGAGGUAUGUCUCAUGGACAUCACCUAUUAGGUUAGUUAGGGAUUAUAUCUUUCAAAAAUUCAGAAUAGUUAUUGCCUUUCUUCCUUUUGAAAAUCCAAUCUUUUUUCAAUCUUUAACUUAUCCUUUUAGCUUUUGGAUGCCAAGUGUCGCAUGUGGGCGCAAGAUGUCGGGGGGUCAUGGGAGUCACCACCUAGUUUUUUGGUUCAAAGUCGCUAGGAAACUCGGGUAUACUGGUUUUAUCAGAUAUUCCAAGGGUAAGAGACUGAUUGUGGUUGGGUAAGGUACUAGUACCCCUAAUGCACCCUACCUGAGGUAAAGUGUAUUGUGUGGUUUAAAGGUUUUUAUGGAUUCCUAAAUGGUGGUAUGUCUAUGACUUAAGAUGGGGAUUUAUUCAUGUGAAUAAAUCUGGUUUUUUUUAAUUUAUUAUGGUUGUAGACAAGAUCCAUAUAGGUGCCCUAACAGGGUUCACCUAUCUUUAAAGGUGGAACGACUUUCCACAACUCAUGUAUUGUGAUGAAAAAUACUCCCAAUUAAAAUUGGUGAAUGUUUAAAAUAAUUUUGAGAAUUUUCUCGUCAACUCAUGAUAUUUAAAUACCAGCAUACUUGUAAGUUCAACAUUUAUACCAAAAAAUUGACAAUUAUUUCUAAUGAAUUAAUUUUUUUUAUGGAUUUUUGAAAUAUUGACAAAGUUCUAAUGAAUUCAAUAAACUGGUUAUUAAACCCAAAAUGCAUGGAAAUAUACUAAACAAAGUGGUAUUUUUUGGCCAUGUAAUAUCAAAGAAGAGUAUCUAUGUGGAUCCAAAGAAGAUAGAAACAAUAUUGAAAUGGGAAAGACCUACAACUGUGACUGAAAUUCAUAGUUUUCUAGGCUUAGCUUGAUAUUAUAGGAGAUUUAUAGAAGGAUUUUCAACGAUAGCCUCUCCAAUGACUCGACUAACUUGGAAGGAAGUUAAGUUUGAAUGGUCAAAAGAGUGUGAAACAAGUUUUCAAGAGUUAAACUCCAGGCUAACUUCAACCCCAGUAUUGGCUUUACCAAAAGGACAGGAGGGAUUUGUUAUGUAUAGCGAUGCUUCCAAUAAGGGUUUGGGUUGUGUAUUUAUGCACCACGGAAGGGUAAUCGCUUAUGCAUCUAGACAGUUGAAACCAUAUGAGAUAAACUAUCCGGUACAUGAUUUGGAGCUGACAGUUGUGGUGUUUGCUUUGAGGAUAUGAAGACAUUAUUUGUACGGGGUACAAGUGCAGAUUUUUACAGAUCACAAAAGUUUAAAAUAUUUGAUGUCACAAAAAGAAUUGAAUAUGUGACAUAGGAGAUGGAUGGAGCUAAUCAAAGAUUAUAAUUGUAUUAUUGACUAUCACCCGGGGAAAGCAAAUGUGGUGGCAGAUGCUCUGAGUCGAAAGAAUAAAGCUUUUAUUAGUGGUUUACUAGUGCUAAGUGAGCUAAAUGUGCUUUUGGAUGUGACUUCAGGAGGAAUAUUACUAGCAACGUUAGUGCUAUAAUCUAAAAUGAGAGAAAAGAUUCGAAAAGCUUAAGGUGAAGAUCCUGAAGUGAUGAAAGAAAUGAACAUUGUAUAAGUAGGCCAAGACUCUUUAUUUCGUAGUUAUGGGAAACAUAAUAUAUUUACCUGAUGAUAAGGUUUUAAAAAGUGAAGUCUUAAAAGAAGCUCAUGAGUCUAAAUUGGCGAUCCAUCCAGGAAGCACGAAAAUGUAUAGAGAUUUGAAGGAGAGUUACUGGUGGCCAAAAAUGAAGAGGGAGAUAGCAUAAUACGUGGUCAAGUGUGCCAUAUAUCAGCAGGUGAAUGUAGAGCAUCAAUGGCCAGUUGGAGAAUUACAAUCUCUUUCGAUUCCAAAAUGGAAAUGGGAGAAUAUCACUAUGAAUUUUGUAUCUAGGUUACCGAGAAGCAGGAAAGGACUUGAUGUCAUAUGGGUGAUCGUGGAUAGACUGACAAAGUCUUCUUUAUUUUUGCCUAUGAAGAUGGGGGAUUCGGUUGAAUAACUAGCUCAAUUAUAUAUUAAAGAGGUGGUGAGAUUGCAUGGUGUACCAGUUUAUAUAGUUUCUGAUAGGGAUCCUUGGUUUACAUCAAGGUUAUGGCCGAGUAUACAACGGGCUUUGGGUACCAUAUUGAAUUUAAGAAUGACUUUUGAUCCACAGACUGAUGGGCAAUCUGAAAAGACAAUUCAGAUUUUGGAAGAUUUGUUGCGGCUUGUAUUCUAAAGUUUGGAGGUCAAUGGGAGGAUCACUUGCCAUUAGUAGAAUUUACUUAUAAUAAUAGUUAUCAAUCUACUAUUGGCAUGGAACCAUAUGAAGCAUUGCAUGGAAGGGGAUGUUGAACUACAGUAUGUUGGGAUGAAGUUGCGGAAAGAAAAUUAUUAGGACCUGAACUGGUGCUGAUCACGGUUGAUAAGGUGAAGGUGAUAAAGUAAAUGAUGAAAGAAGCUCAAGACCGGCAAAAAAGUUGUGCUGAUAAUUGACGGAGACCUCUAGAGUUUCAAAUUGGAGAUGUGGUAUUUUUAAAAGUUGCACCAUGGAAGCAUGUGAUUCGGUUUGGAAUGAAAGGCAAAUUAGCACCCAGGUAUAUCGGGCCAUAUAAAAUUAUAGAAAGAAUUGGGACGGUCCUAUCGAAUAAUACUGCCACCACAUUUAGAUAUGAUACAUAAUGUGUUUCAUGUUUCGAUGCUGCGGAAAACAGACUUGGAUCUUGCAUGAAUUUUGCCACAAAUUUCGAUGGAAGCACGGGAAGAUUUAACUAUGGAGGUACAACCAGUGCAAAUUAUGGACCGAAGUAUAAAAGAGUUACGAAAUAAAAAGGUGUCGUUAGUAAAGGUAUUGUGGAGAAACUCUCGAAUAGAAGAAGAAACCUAGGAGAGAGAGUCAGAAAUGAAGAAGAAAUAUUCUAGAUUAUUUUUUUACAUAGGUAUGAAUUUAGAGGACAAAAUUUUUUUUAGGAGGGGAGAAUGUAAACCCCCCGGAUGAAAAAUAAUAAAUUGACUAGUUUUAUGUAAAAUAAAACAUUUCAUAACUGUUGAUCGGGUUAUUAGACAAUUCUAAAAAUUUACGUGGAGCCUUCUAAUAUGAUGCCUUAGCUUGGGUUAAAAUUUCAGAAUUGUUGGAGAAAUUCAGAAAUUUGACAAAAAAUCACAAUUUGACAAAAAAUCACAAUUUGACUAGUUUUACGUUAUUGGACGUAAUUUUCAAUCCAAUCCUCAGAUUGAGCUGAAAUUUUACGAGGGACUUUAAACUAUAUUGAAUAAAAUUUGGUUAAAGUUUUAGGAUGAACGGAGCUCGGUAUUGCUAAAAAACAAUAAGGACCGUCAAAUAGAAGUAAAAGUACUCAUUAAGGGUAAAAUGAUUAUUUGCCAUUAAAAAAUAAAACAAAUCAGCUCUCCUUUCCUUUUAUAUGCUGCCGACUGUGCAGAAGCAGAGUGGGAAAAGAAAGAAAAGAAAAAAAGCAAGUGAGAAAGAGAGAAAAGUAAGGAAAAAAUAAGAAAAGUGAGAGAAUAACCUUGUAAACUUACAAAGUCCAACUUAUAAAACACUAAUCUAAGGAAGAAUCAAGUGAAGGAAGGAGGAAUUGAGAGAGAGAAUUUGGCUAACCUUGGGAGAGAAGAGAAAUUGGAAGAAAGUCAAUUGGUAAGUAUGAGAAGUUUGGAUUUAAUGUUUGAUUUAGAUGUUUUUAAGCUAAAUUGAUUAAGUUAGGAAGUAAUUUCAUGAAAUUUUACUUUAAUUUCCCUUAAAUCCUUGAUUCUUGAACUUAGGGUUCUUAUGGGAAUUUGGGGGAAUUAGUAAGGGAAGGAAAAAUGAUGAAGUUGAAGUGGAAUAGCAUGAAAACAAGUUGAAAUAACAAGUAAAUGAAGAAAAAUUUGGGGGAGGAAAAAGAAGAUGACAUUUGGCCAAAUGAAGGAAAAGUGGAGGAAUGAGUUUUGAUGUUAAUUUUUAGGAAACUAUGUUUAAUCAUGAUAUUUGAAAUAUGCAAGAAUGACUAAAUAAAGAAAUAACAUUAAAGUUGAGAAAAAUAAGUAAAUUCAAUUUAAAAGAGAAUUGAACUAGUUAAAAAGAAAGUAUGAAGACAAGAUGUUUAGAUUGUGUUUGAAUAUAGUUCUUACAUAUGUUUAGAUAAAAUAAAUAAUAUGAUGUGAAGGCAUAAAGAAUAGAAGGAUUAUUUGAUGGAGGAAUUAUGAACAUAAAGCAAGAAAAGAAGUCACUUUUUUUUAAAUAUGUGGUUGUAUGUGAAAUGAUGGUGUUAUGUUUGAGAAUGAAUUUUUAUCAGAAUGAAUUAAAACAAAAUGUGCUUUGCGUUUCGGCACGUAAGAAAAAUAUUGAUGUACUAAUGAUAUAAUGAUAUUUGAUUGAUUCAGGAGUUGUGUCUGGAGCUGGUUAUCAAACAGGAGGAGCCGGGUCAUCACGAGCACAAGGUAAGUGAUUCGUCACCUUAUUUGUAAGUUUUCCUUAAAUAUCUAUGUUGUUUAUUUAAUUGAUGUUAAAAGAAUGAAGCAAAUGAAUAAAUUAAGUGAUUAUUACAACUGAAUAAUUGGUAAUUUAUGUGAAAUUACCGGAAUUACUAUUUGGCUUACAAAAGAGGUUAGCCGGAUGCUGGGCAAUUCAUAUGAAAUUACCGAAUUGAUUUUGGCAACCAAAAUAGGUUAGCCAGAUUCCUUGGGUAAUUAUGAGAAUUACCGGGUUUAUUGGUUAACAAAGAGGUUAAUCAGAUAUGGGGUAAUUCGUAUUGAAUUACCGGAUUGAUUGGCUAACAAAAGAGGUUAGCAGGAUGAUGGGUAAUUUAGAUGGAAUUAUCGGAUUUAUUGGUAACUGAGGAAGGAUAACCAAAUUUGUGGGUAAUUAUAUGAAAGUGUUAGAAUUAUUGGCAAUCGAGAUGAGUUAGCUGGAUAUUUAAUUUUUGAAAAGAUUAUGUAAAUUAAUUGAAUGAAGUUAGAAGUAUUAAAUUUCAGAGGUUAAGAGUAAAAUAAUUAAUAUAUGACUAAGAUAUUGAGUAAAUUAAUUAAUGUGGUUAUUGUUGAAACAGGUACGCGAGGUGAUGCAAAUCGUUAGAUGUAGGAUUUUUCUGUUUAUGAAUUAUUAUUUUGGAAUGUAAUAUUUAUGUCUUUGUUUUCUUUGAAAACCCUUAUGUUGUCAAAAUCAGAUAGAAGAUGUGUAGUAUGUAAUGAUUGUAUUACCUUCGUGUUGUAAAAAUCAAAUAGAAGAUGUGUAAUAUGUAAUGGAUGUAUUAUAUAUAUGUAUAGAUGUUAGUAUGGUAAAUCAUUUUCAGAAUGAUAAGAUAAGUUUAUAAUAUAAAGUAGUAGAAUACAUUAUAUGUUUUAAGACAAUAUGACUCUUAAUCUUAAUAUUUUAUCCAUUUAGUCUAAAUGCAUAUAUGUAGUUAAUUAACAUUUAUUACUUUUUAGUGAUGAAAUUGUUUAUCUUUCAAUUUGUUUUAGUAAUUCUUUUAUGUUGACUUGUUAAUUCAUAUUAUGAGACUUGAAUAUGUUGAUAACUAUAAGUUUUGAGAGAUUGAUUGAUGAAUGGGAUGUGAUCCAGGAUGAUUGGAUCAAGAUGGAAGUUGUAAUGGCAUAUAAUAGAAGUGUUGUUGAUAACUUGAUACCAACAAAAAUAGAGGAAACUCUGCCAAACUUUUCAAAAAAUAAAAUAAAAAUCCAUAAUCUUAGACAUAUUAUUCAAUACUUGACAUUCGUAAAGAAAUGUUUGAGAUUUUAUGACAUUAUAAUUUGAGGAUGUUAUAGUUUGGUACUAAGACAAACCAUGUAUUUUAUAUUUUAAACAAGAUAUGAUUUUUAUUUUUAUUUUUGGAAGACUUGGUCGUAUGUUAUUUAAGAUAAAAUUGUAUUUUUGAAAAAAGAGAUUUUUUUUUUGUUGUUUUUGUAAAAGGUAAAACGAUUCGUUUAACAUCGAAGAAGCGUCUCGUGUGUGUGUCACGAUUUUAAAUAUUAAAUACGUGAUGAUUGGAAAAUAUGGAGAACUCAAAAUUAAUUGCAAGAUGAUCUUCCAAAGAUUUUGAAAAUGGACGAAGAUAGUGUUUAGUAAAACACAAAUAAAUUAUUUUUAUGAAGGCUAUUUUAACCACGAUAUUAAUUCAAAACAAAAUAUCGUUCAUCAACUUGAAACGAGCAACACCAAAAAUCCACAUGAAUCUUAUUAAUUUCACAAACUUUGUUCAAACUGCGUAUUAAUUCAAAGGAAUUAACACAAACCCAAACAUGCAUCAAUAUUUAAUGUCCAAAAAACAAUCACAAUCUAAUAAUAAACUCAUAACUCACCACAAAUACUCAAAUCACCUCAAAAUCAAUAAUACACAUCAAACCAAAUUAAAAGUGUCCAACAGUCCAUAAAAAAUACACAAUAAUAAGCAUUUUUCCUAAAAUUUCACAACAUUGUAGCAAUUUAUCUGAAACAAUAUUAGUAAUUAAAAAACUUCAAUAUAGAAAAGCGGUGAUGUAUACAAGUGGAUUUGUCUAAGCAUGAAAGCCGUUCAAGAGAGGAGUCACCAAUAUAUAUUCCUUUCUUAACUCUCAAUUAUAUAUAUUUCUUAUCACUUUAUUCAUGAACUCUUGAUAAAUCAUCAGACCACCGCCAGGACCUUAAAUCCAGACCUUUGCCUACCGCAUUAAUUGACAAGAAUAUUUCAAGCAUUUAGAACCUUAAAGAUACCAACACAAAAUUGGGGCAGAUUUUUUUUUUUUUUGAAAGAUGUGUAUAUUAUUUAAACGCCAAAGCCUGGCGGGAGUAGUACAGAAACUACAUAAUAUCUUACUAUGGCAAAAAGCCAUAAAUAGGAUAAAGCGCAGUAUAAGAAAAACAAAAGCAAAGAAAACCUUAGAAUAGCCAUCCGAAUGAGCUCAAAGCUAAACAAUCCUCUACAAAACAAAAAUGAAAAUAACGCAAAGACAUAGUGGGAGAAGACACAAGAGCAAGGCCAUAGAAAAAAAAGUGUAGUCAAAGCCAGGCAACAAAAUCACUUGAUCUUUGCACUCCUUGUUUAGCCAUGCAAUCUGCCAUGCAAUUACUUUCACGGAAGAUAUGGGAGAAGGUGAUUGAACCAAAAUAUGCUUUCAGCCUAUUAACAGAGGAGAACAGAUUAUGAUGCUUCCAGGGACGGUUGUGAGGCUUAUUCAUCCAGCUAAUAGCAUUGACAGAGUCAGAUUCUAUGAUGAGGUGUUGAUGGUGGAAGAGACAAUUAGAUGCUGAAAGUUCAAUGGCUUUGACAAUAGCCCUUAACUCAGCAAUAUUAGAGUCUAAAAUACCAACUGAAACAGAGAACAUACCGAGAAGAUGUCCAUGAUGAUUUCGCAGUACACCACCUAUUCCAGAAGGGCCUGGCUUACCAAGAGACGAGCCAUCCAUGUUCCAUUUAAGGCUAUUAAUCAUAGGAGGAGACCACAUAUUAUGAAUCCUGAAGGAGUGGGCAUUGGACCACCGAAGUAAGCCAUUUGCCGAUCUGAUCAGAUCUGAAGGGGAGUAUGGGAAAUCAGAAUGGAUAGCUUUUAGCCAUAGACAUAGACAGGUGAUAAUAAGAAAGAAUAUUGAAUCAUAGUCAGGUGUCUUCUGUUGGAAGAUCAGAUCAUUUCGAAGUAGCCAAAGAGACCAUGCCACUGAGAAGAACAACAUCAGCCACGCCUUCCUCUGAAAAUGACCAUGCACCAUGGAAGUCCAUUGAGACCACAAAUCUGAGAAGCUCUUUGGGCAACACCAAACUAAACCCCACCACUUAAUGAUUUUGGACCAAAUCAGCCAAUGCUUAUGGCAUUGAAGCAGGAUAUGGUCCACCGAUUCUGCCUCCACUAGGCAGAUAGGGCAAUUUGAUUCUGAGCUACUCAAUAUACCCCUUCGAACCAACAUGCAUCGGGUGUUGAUUCUGUUAAUGAUAGCCAUCCAGCAAAAGAUCUCUACCUUAGGAGGGACAAUACCUUUCCAAAUUCCAGCAAACGAGAAGGCAUUGUUUGUGGAAGGCUUUGGGCUUAACAAUCCAUAGAGAGAUUUAACUGAAAAUCUUCCUGAAUUAUUGUCCUUCCAUAUUAGUCUAUCCUCUCCAUCUUUGUCCAUGAGUACAGUCGAUAGGAUUGCAUAAAGCUGAUCGAGCAAGCCAAUGCUGCGCCCCCGUAGCGGACGUAUCCAGGAAAAAAACCAAAUCCACUCAUACCCUUCCCACAUUCCCAUUUUAGCAAUGCUGGCAGCUUUGUCAUUGGAUAAUUGGAAAAGAGUAGGGAAGUGCUCUGCUAAACAGUGGUUAUUAAGCCAGCAGUCAAGCCAAAAUUUAGUCUUUUUGCCAUUUCCGAUAAGAACCAGAGAUUGCUCUUUCACAAUAUCCUGCAGGUUAUUAUUUCUCACACAAUGAUUGACAAUUCGGGACCAUGUAGUUGCAGCUCCUGGAAUAGGAGCUUGCAGCAGCAGAUUAGAGCAAUUGGUGAUGUGGAUGCUUUUGAUCACAUCCUUCCACAAACUUGAUUCCUCCGACCCAAACCUCCAUAACCAUUUAAAGAGCAGAGCUGUGUUUUUGUCCCUUAAGGGACCAAUCCCAAGGCCACCCGCUUGUUUUGGAAGAGUAACAGUGGCCCAGCUGACAUUGCAUAUUUUGUGUCUUUCCUCAUUUCCAGACCAGAGGAAGGAUCGAAGUUUGUGAUCAAUUAUGGAGGCAACCGAAGCAGGCAUAGGGAACAUAGAUAGGUAGUAGAUGGGGAGAUUGCUGAGCACAUAUUUAAUCAAGCACAAACGACCCCCAAUAGAUAAGAACCUGCAUUUCCACGAAGCCAACCGGAAACUGAUAUUAUGUAAAAUAGGAUUCCACAUUGUAGCUCUGCCCAGGUUUCCAUCAAUGGGGAGUCCAAGAUACAUGAGAGGCAGCUGAUCCUACUUGCAUCUAAGAAGCUGAGCCGUGAAGUUACAUGUAUGAGCUGCUACACCCACACCGACAAUGCUACUUUUAUAAAAAUUGACCUUCAACCCCGAGACAAGUUCAAAGCAUAAUAGGAUACGUUUAAUGUUCUGCAUGCUAUGUAAAGAGUCUGAACUGAAUAUAAGGGUGUCGUCCGCAAAUUGUAAGUGAGAUAUGACAAGCCCUGCAUUGCCGAUGUUUAUACCUGAAGUCAAACCCAAAUCACAGCCACGCUGCAACAUACAACUCAACCCCUGGACUGCAAUGUUGAAGAGAAACGGAGAGAGAGGGUCUCCUUGGCGUAGGCCUUUAGCUAAGCAGAAUUCCUCCGUGGGAGACCCAUUAACAAGCACAGACAUUUUUGCCGCUGAUAUGCAUUGCAUAAUCCACCCUCGCCAUCUAUUGCCAAAGCCCAUACUAGCCAUGAUUUCAUUAAUAUAUUCCCAUAACACCGAAUCAAAGGCUUUGUGAAAAUCUAAUUUGAAGAGAUAAGCUUUACCCUUUUUCUUCUUAAUGAAAGAAAGGACCUCAUUUGCAAUCAAGACGCUGUCUAAAAUUUGCCUCCCUUUGAUGAAAGCAUUUUGAUGAUGAGAGAUGACCUCUGGCAUAACAUGUUUCAACCUGGUUGCUAGAAUCUUUGAAAUGAUCUUGUAUAGGCUGCCAACCAAACUAAUAGGUCUGAAAUCUGAUAGCUUGUUAGCACCUUUAAUCUUCGGAAUAAGAGUAACAAAGGUGCUAUUGAUACCAGCAGGGAGGAGAUUAGUCCGAUAGAAGUCAUCAAUCAUCUGGAUAAUAUCCUCACCUAUAAUGUUCCAUGCUUUCUUGAUGAAAAGGAAGUUAAUACCAUCAGGACUUGGAGCUUUAUUUCUAUCACAAUCCCACACAGCUGUUUUAAUCUCUUCUGCAGAAAAUGGCAAUUCAAGAGCAGCAGAGGAUGAAGGCUUCAGCCUUGAGAAUUCCAGGUUUGAACAUGAAGCUCUAGGUCUGUUCUGGUGGGAGUAUAGAUUGCGAAAAAAGUUAAAGACAACUAGCUUCACAUCGAUUGGUUUAGAUAGGAUCUGUCCAUCAACCUCCAGGCAUGCAAGCUGAUUCUUUUUCUGUCUUGUUGUUGCAGCUAAAUGAAAGAAUCGAGUAUUUUUAUCUCCAAGCUUACACCACUGAAUUCUUGAUUUCUGAUGCCAGGCAGACUCUUGAGCUCUAUACAGGAUUUUGAGUCGGGAGGCAAUGGAAUUACUUCUAAUCAGUUCAUUAGCACUCAAGACCCUGCACUCAUUUUCACGAUCCAUUGAGUCAGCUUCAAGUUCCAGUUCGGCAAUUCUGUUAUUCAUGCUUCCUAUAUUAGCUUUACUCCACUGCCGACAUCUCUCUUUCAACAUCUUUAGAGCUGGGACCAUUUUCCUUGUGCCAGAUUUUGAAACCAUGAUUGAACUCCAAAAGCUCUGAAUCAUAUUCCUAAAAUCAGACACAAGCCACCAGCAAUUCAUGAAGCGAAAGGGUUUCGGGCCCCAAUUUGUAGAGUCUAGCAACAGAUGCAGAGGCCUAUGAUCAGAUGAAUAUUUUGAGAGACCAAAUAAGGUAGAUGAUGGGAAAGUCUGCAACCAAUCCCCCGAUACAAAUAUUCUAUCAAUACGGCUCGCCGCAUUACCUCGAGACCAUGUAAAUUUCCUCCCAUUUAAGGGGAGCUCCAUAAGAUUACAAUCAUCAAUGCAAUUUUUGAAUCGUGUCAUGGAAGAUGUUAUUUGUGAGCUGCCUUUCCUAUCUGAUGGGAAUAAGGUUUCAUUAAAAUCACCCGCAAGACACCACGACUUGCUAACACUAUCCCUGAAUGUAACAAGAUAAGUCCACAACUCAUUCUUCAGGUUCCCACCAUUCGGAGCAUAUACAAAAGAGACUAGGCAAUCUAGAUUGGACCGAGUGAAGCUGCCUUCAAUAUGCAAAAUACGGCCAUUCAUAGCAACAGAACAGCUAGAGACACAAAAAAGAUCCGGAUUCCAUAUACAUAAUAUUCCCCCCGAAAGGCCUAAUGAGGGAACUGCAUACCAAGCCCUAGGAUGACGACCCCAUAUAGCAGUAAUAGUGAAAUCAUUCAAAGUUUCCAAUUUUGUUUCCAAAAUACCCAGGAUAUGAAGAUCAAAUUUUCGACCAAGAUUCCUCAAACAUCUCUUUUUUUCUCUCCCCCCUAAGCCACAUACAUUCCAUACAAUUAUACUACCCAUAGGAGUGAUUACAGAGACCAUACCUGCAGACUAUUUACGGAAGCAAAUCACGGCUUCUUCCUUAGGAUCCACUCUUCCUGUUCUCGGUCUAGGAAUCCCUGCAGUGUCUGAGUCAUGAGUGUGCUAUCGUCAUGCCCUUGGAGAAUAGCUUGUCCAACUUCCCAGCAAGCAGUGGCUUCUGCCCUAUUAUCAGAAUGUGCAGGCUCAGUUGCUUCAUCACCAGCAUUGGUGUCGGGUCUGUAUCUUGAACUACUUGCCUCAUCCUCACCAAUCAAUUCCUUACCAGCUUUGAUAAUAGCAUUUAUGUUCUUUAUCCCAUUAUCAGAAACUGAGUAUUCAACAAUUACGGUCUCUGAUUGCUUACCGCUUUGUUUUCCCAGUUGACGUGAUUUCCUCCUCCUAAGAGAGUGUGAUCUGCGUCUGAGCUUCGUUGCUUUUUUUCUGUGGGUUUUCCUGUCUCCUACUUCCAGAGCACUAAGCUCAUAUGGAUCAGCAAUAGGAGUGAUGAAGGUUGUAAAAGAUGGCCCAAUGCUCGUUGAUUUCUGCUUUUUCUUACGCCCCAUCUGCUUUAGGAGUCCACUGUCAUAAUUUAUAUGUUGAUUCAGCCCAUCCUUAGCAGUAAAACAAGAAACUUUUUGCAUAGCCACCCCUCUGCAUGCAACUGAAUCCACCUCAACAUAUACGUAAGGUACCAAGGCUAACUGGUUAUCGCCUUCGUACGUACUCUCAUCAAAUAAAACCGCAUGUUUGCAGAUUUCAGUAAUUUCUGGGUAAAGGUACCACGGUGAAACUUCAGACGUGGUGAGUGUGCUAGCAAGCUGAGUUUGGGUGCCCAACAAACCAGUGAAUUCGGAUUCAAAUUCGGGUCUUUGUUUUGUCUCUUUGUGAGUCGUUGCAGCUUUAUUAGUUUCCUCAAAAAAAUCAUCUUCAUCGUCAUCGGAUAGCACAGAUGUUGAGCACAAUGAUACAUCCAUGGAGUGUUUGACUGUUGUGAGAGAGGGGAUAAACUCACCUUUGAUUUCUUUCAAACUGACCUCAACCUGCACUCCAUCAAGCUGGAGCAACACUUGAUCAUGUAAAGGUUCCAGCUUUGUGGUUCGAAUAAGAACCCUAAUACCUGAUAUGGACCCCUGACUAACACAAGAAGUGUCGUAUCCUACAAUAUUUCCCCAGUUCUGAAGCAAAAUAUUGAUACAGUUUCUGUUCCACCCUUCCAUUGGCAAACCAAAUAUGGAGAUCCAAGCAAAUCUGUCAGAUGCUCUAGUCCUUGUUUCCCACUGUCUGAGAUUGCUGAAUAGAGAAUGCAGCACAGAUACUUUAUUCCUUUGUUCUUGCACUGAGGCUAACUGAUCCACAUAGGUAAUAAUCACCUGGCUAGCUCCCAAAAAACGAAAGCUCACAGCUUUGACACUUGAUUUUAAAACCGUUGCCUCCAGUGUUGCUACAUCCACAUUUGGCAAGAUAUUUCCCACUAAGCUCCUAUGCAGAUUUUUCAUACCAUGAAAAAUUGGGGCAGAUUUUUCAUACCAUGAAAAAUUGGUCGUAAUAAGAACCUUUUUUUUUUCCUGGUCCUGCUCGACUUGGAAAGGGGUCCUUGAGGAUCCAAUUUGGAGUAUCUUGUGGGUUUAGUCAAAAAGGUCAUUCUCAGUCUUCACACUUCAUGCACAAGGAAAGAAUAUGUUUAAUUCGUCAAUCGACUCAUAGCUAACUCUGUAACAAAUGUUUGGGAUGAAGGGAAAAGUAUAGCUUUUUCUAAUUAGAGAAAGAAAUUGCAUAAACUGUGAAUGCUGUAAUUAUUUUCAAAGAACUUAACCAUAAAUCUACCCUUCUUGCAAGGAACAAAGCCUUCUUCUCUAUAUUUUCAAAGAAUGAUAUAAUUAUUAUGGUGAAUCAUGCAUGCAUAUCCAGAAUUUGAUAUUUCUUAAUUGAAUUUUGGAAAAGUCGUAAUACUUGGUAAAGCCUUUGGAUCGAUAGUUUCUCUGAGAUGUGAAUGGAAUUAACAACAUAGAGAAUAAUAAAAAAGAAAAAGCAACAGAAUCAAUCAUCAGAAGUUGUGAGAAUUAUAUCUUUCUUUGAAGAUUUUGAUUUUGACCACAGUGAACCUAUAAGCUUAACUAGAGAGGCUUCUAUGAUUUCUAUAUAUACGGACUAGCUUGGCUUCAAACCAUAUGUACAAGUCAAGCUCAAACUCAGAACCUCGUUAAACUGUUUCUUCUUAUUAUUUUUUAGUGUCAUUUUGCAAAUGGCUCGCCAAGCAGAGCGCCUUUCCAAGAUUGGGUUGGAAGGACUUGCACUAAUAGAUGAGUGGUACGAGUGCCCUAGGAGGUCUUCAACUCCUCAAGAACACCAUCAGCAACGAUAUGACUAUUGUGGAAUCCAAGUUCCCAUGAUGAAAAUGGAUGUUAUCAACAACAAGGAGGCAGCUAAACAUUAUGGUGGGGUGGUGAUUAUGGAUUAUCGAAAGAAAAAGUUACUCUAUUGAGCUCUUUAGUGAUAAUGUAUUGGGCCUUGCUUUGCUUGGUUAAGUUAAUUACCAAGCAUAAUUAAGUCGUUUUUAACUUUAUUGUUUUCUUCUUCUUUUUCCUAUGUUUUAGAGUCAGCUACUCCAAAAGAUGAAAAAGUAUGAGUGCCUUAAAGUGAUUUGCUGCACCUCUUAUUUCUCUAUGAUUUGUUGGGUUUCUUGAAAUACAUGACAUAGUGAAAAUAGUUUUUUCAAGUCUCAUGGAUCUCAUUAAACAACAUAAAUUUAUUUAGGAUUUGUGCGAAAAUUAUAUGAAGAUAGUUCUUCGUCCUAGAAUUUGAUCAACACUUGAAGGCUGUGUUUUCGUAAAUCAAGUCCUUACUUGAUUUUUCUAAAUCUAGAAUUUUAAUCUCAUGUUCUAAUUAUAUUAUAGUUUUCAAUUUCAAAAACUUAUUUACAAUCAAUUUGUUAUUACCUACUUUUGACUCCACGAAAAAUCAAGAAAAGAAAAAAGAAAAAAUAGAAAGAGAAAAUCCAAAAUACAAGAGGAUAUACAUGAAAAAAACCUAAAAGAUUACUCAAGUUGAUGGUGAAGGACCAAAUUACUAGUGGAAAAGUUGGAGGACUAAAAUGUUCAAAACUACUAUAAUUAACAACCCAAUUCUAAUUGACAAGGUUCCUUUUGGUGAAAAUAUUUCUAUUAGGGUAAAGAAAUACAAAUUUGGAUAGGUAAGGACUUAAUGAGAAUUUUGCAAGGCUUAAUUAAUUUUAUUGAGGACUUGAUUACUGGGAAAAUCAGUUUUUAGAGUUAAUUUAGGUGUUAAUUGAAAUAAAUUAAAGUUCAGAGACUUAAUUGGUUUUUUAGGAGGUUUAAUUGGAUGAAUCAAGGGCUUAAUUGUUAGAAUAUUAAAGUUUGGUAUGCAAUUAGGAACUUGAUUGAAGAAUUCUAAAACCAAGAACAAAACUGAAAAAAAAACGCAUGAAGUGGUAUCAGAAUCUAUUAUCCUUUUAUUAUUAACAAAACGGAAGCCAUAACUUACUGUUUAUACUGUAAUAUUAGGAUCUUCUCUGCCUUCUCCUCUCCAAAGGCCAUUGAGAGGUACAAUGUCCAGAAUGCAUCUAAGGAUAACCAUAUGUCCAUAUCCAUAAGAUCUCAAUGGAUUGCCUCUCACUACAGAAUCGCCUCUCACUACAGAAUCGAGCACAUCUUUAAGCUAGAAUAAAGUGCCUUCACUUAUUAUUUAGCAUUAUUGCGCAGGACAAGUCUUCACUGCUUAUUUCCUUAACAGUUUUGUCACUAUAAAAAAUUCAAUGAAUACAAACGGAUUUGCUGAUUGAAUUUUUCUAUCGGUAUUUUAUGGUGUUAUUUACCAACCAAAUUUUUUCCCUUGCUAAAAGGAUAAUGUCCAGAACGCUUCUAAGGAUAACCAUAUAUGCAUAUCUAUAAGAUCUCAAUGGAUUGCCUCUUACCAUAGAAUUGUAAAUAAUGAAGACUAUUUUACAAGGUUUUUAUCCUACAUUUGAAAAAACACAACUUAUUUCUUGUAAACAUAGAGUCUAUAUAAGGUUUUAUAUUACACAUUGAAAAAAUAAAAUAUUUAUCUAGUAUUUAUAUAGUAAACUUUGAUACGUGAUAGUAACCAAAACAAAAGGGGUAGUGGGCUUGCGUGUAUAAAGUUGAGCCGAGCAGGAGAAAAACCUCUGAUUACUCUCCGACGUGUGAGGCAAUGCCUUUCUGAACCUUUUGUCUCUAGCAAUAAUUUGUUUUUGGCUCUUAAAUUGAAACCACAAUUUUUUUAAAACUUAGAAUUAAUUUUCUAUUAGUCACAAAAUCCUAACAACUCUUUUAUUUUAAAACGUUUUUAACAUUUACAAUUCUUUAACUUCCUAACAGCUCUUUUAUUUUUUUGAAUUGUUGUAAAAACUCUUUAAUUUUCUAAUUUAUUUUCUGCCUAGUUGUUCCAUUUUAACAACCUAUAUAUGUCAUGCACUCUUACAAUCAUAGUGUGCUGAAAAAACCAUAGUAUUUUUCUGUGUUUGCAAAACUUGCUGGCAUUUCCUUUCGAUCUUGGUCUAGCUGUUUCCGUAACCCUUGUUUUAGAAAAAAUCUUGUUGAAAUCUGGAAUAUAACCUUGUGUUGAGAAAAUAUAUUUAAGGACAAUGUUUGUGCAUGCCUCAAGUUUUAUUUUAUUUCUAUUCUUCAUCUUAUUUUAUUACAACAUCCAGCACAUCCUUAAGUAAAUAAAGAAAGCUAGAAUAAAGUGGCCUCAGUGAUUAUUUAGCAUUAUUAAGUAGGCCAAGUACUCUUCACUGCUUAUUUCCUAUUAGUUCUGUAUUGUGGAAUUGCACUUACAAAUAAAGAACUUGUUCUUGAUAUUUUCGUACAGAAUUUCUCUCUCGAAUAGUCGGUCAAUAAAGUCACUUCGUUUAUUCGGAUUUGAGGCCGGCCAUGAGAUGGAGAGGUUGUGUCACAUUAAUUAUGUCAUGUUACUUAGGUUAACUAGAAUAAGAAAUAAAGAUAUAGGUUUUGGAAAGAAUAAAGAUCAGUUAAAGAAGGAAAAAAAAAAAGAAUAGAAAAAAAGAUUAUCAAAAAAAGAAUCAGAUUCACCAUUAAACUAAAGAGUCUCAUCGAUUCUACGAAACUUGUCGGAAGGAAUCAUUUGUUCAAUAAUUGAAUGCGAUUUUUGCUUUAUAUAUAUUUUAGGAACUUUGCACUAGAAAGGGAACAUUUGUGCCACCAAGUACUAACACUAGAAAGGGAACCUUUUUUUCCCAGUGUUAAUAGAUACUUUUUUUUAUAUAUUUUUGACAUUUCUCUUCUUGAUUUUUCUUAUUAAAGCAUGUUUGUUUUUGCAUUUCAAAAAUGCUUUGAAAACAUUUUGAAAAUUUUUAAUCGUUUUCUUUACUUCAAAUUUUAGGGGAGACUUUUGAUAAUAUUUUCAACAUUGUAGCCGACUUUUGGUUGCUCAAUCUUGGUUCUUGAUUGAACUUUCAACUCUUCAAAGAAUUGACCAUUCUUUGUUGUGAAUUUAUACUUCUUUUGCUCGUCUCCAGGUGUAGGCGUUGUGAUCGAGUUGGUUUAUAGUCUUGUUGCCUUGGAGCAAGUCUUUUAUUGUGAUAAGCUCAUUCAAAUCUCAACAAACUUGGGUUAGAUUGAUCUUGGGGUCGCGUAUACCAUUAAAUUCCGCUAGGGUUUGCUUCACUAGACCUUCUCUUGGAUCUAGACUUGUCAUACUAGUCUAUAAAUAUAUAUAUUAGAACAUCCAUAUAAUCUGUCUAGAGCAGAUACUCAUCUAAUUAUGGCAGACCCACAUAUGACAGCUCAGAAUCACCUGUUAUCGCAAACCCAAUUACAUCAUUAAUGGUUUUUCAAGGUAAGUCAUGAGGAAUUUGAAGCAUAUAAAACGAUAUAACUUGUCCCAAUAUCAUAAAAAUGUUAAAAAAAUGUGAGUAUAUGAACCCAUGAAGCGGGAUCAGAAUCUGUUUUCCUAUUGUUAUUAACAAUACGGAAAGCCAUAACUAACUGUUUGUACUAUAAUAUUGGGAGUGAGAGGUACAAUGUCCAGAAUGCUUCUAAGGAUAACCAUAUCCAUAAGAUCUCAAUGGAUUGCCCCUUACUACAGAAUCUAGCACAUCCUUAAGUAAAUAAAGAAAGCUAGAAUAAAGUGCCUUCACUGAUUAUUUAGCAUUAUUGAGCAGGCCAAGUCUUCACUGCUUAUUUCCUAUUAGUUCUGUAUUGUGGAAUUGCACUUACAAAUAAAGAACUUGUUCUUGAUAUUUUCGUACAGAAUUUCUCUCUCGAUUAGUCGGUCAAUAAAGUAACUUCGUUUAUUCGGAUUAAUUUGAGGCCGGCCAUGAGAUGGAGAGGUUUUGUUAUAUGGAAUCAGAUUCACCAUUAAACUAAAGAGUCGGAAUUAAGGAAUCAUUUGUUCACUAAUUGAAUGCGAUUUUUGUCUUAUAUAUAAUUUAGGAACUUUGCACUCGAAAGGGAACAUUUGUGCCACCAAGUACUAACAAUAACUGUCCAUAGUUUUGCAUGCAUAGACCCUUUUUUCCCGGUGUUAAUAGAUAUUUUCGGACCAACUUGAAAGCAAUUAUUAGAGAUAUCAAUUCAAUCUGAAUUCAAUAUGCAUACAUAUAUAUUACUUUUUUUUUAUUUUAUAUUAAAUAAUAAAUAAUGUUUAGGAAAUAAAAAUCUAAAUGGAUCGAUGAAUAUAAUAUUAGUUUCUAAAUGAUACAACAUAGCUAGAAGAAACUGGAGGUUAUGAUUGGUUAGAAGGGACCUGAUAUAGCUAAAUGAGGGUCAAACCACCAACAAAUUACGUAGAUGACUUAACAUUUACUUUUAUGGUUUAAUAAAAUAGGAAUAGGUUCAAGAAAAGAUAUAUUCAUGUCAAACUAAUAAAGUAUCUAAAACAAGUCAUAGCUUUUUAUCCGACCAUUAGAUAAAUCUCAAAUUUUUACUUAGAUUCCCUAAGCCCAUCUCUAUGGAGGAGCUCUUUGGCAAUCCAUCCUCUAAAUGGAUUUCCUCAAAUUAAAAUGAGAAGAUCCGGCUCAAGCCAAUUUUGUUGUUGUUUUUUUUUUUCUUCAAAAUUUUAUGUUUUAUUUCGGAUUUUCCAUUAUUUUUCAAAUUAAAGAAACCGAGAUAAAAUACCCUGAAUCUUCUUUCAUAAUUUGCUUCCGAUAAGGUGUAGUGUUUUUGCUACUUUUACUUUUGGACCUGACUUGUUUCCUGACCGGUAGAAAUAGCAUUGGUCCAAAAGCACUAGUCCAAAAGCAGGGAAGCUUUUGUUUUCUUUAAUCACAUGAUCCGAUAUUCUCAUUUAUGCCCAACACAAAUUCAUAGAUGUGGCUCUAAUGAUUGGCUGACAACAGUUGUUAAUGAGCAGUGUUUGCGUCCCUUAUUUUUCAGUUUACUAAGUAUUUAGAACAUUCAAUUCCAAUCCAAAGUCGAUAAUAAUAAACUCUUGGUGAUCGGUUUUGUCAUCGAUGGUGAUCGGACGACAAAAAAACAUCCCGGUUUUGUCAUCAAUUAUCGGUUUCCAAUCCAAAGUCGGUUUUUUAUAAAGUUUUCUUAUAUAAAAAGUUUAUUAAGCAUUGAAAACAUCCAAAUCUAACAGUAAAAUUAAUAAACUUUUGAUGAUAAUCUUUUUUUCAUUUUGUGAUGCUUUUAUCGUCAGUAGUGAUAAGAUGAAGAAAAGCUAUUGAUUUUUCUCUCUGCAAUGGUUACUUUUAUCGUACACAAAUGUUGGGUGCUUUUAUUUACAAAAAGGAUCACUGCCUAACAAUAUUCAUUUCACAGCUGUUGUCAACCAAACCUUCCCGAUCUAUAUAAAGGUUGGCUUGGCCUCACACAUAUUAGCCAAGCAAGUAAACCAGCUCGACCUAUAUACAGCUACUUGUCUUGUGUAUUGACUGACAAAUUGUAGUUAACAUGGCACGUCAGGCAGACCGUCUUGCUAAGAUUGGGCUAGAGGGCUUUGCAGCCAUAGAUGAGCACUUCGGCCGGGCCAAGAGGCGGCCACCAGUGCUGAAGGUUCCCUAUGCUCAUCCGACAUAUUACUAUGCAAACCAAAUUCCUGCAACAGAAGUUAUCGACAACAACGAGGCAGCUCAACGCUACAAGGGGAGGGUUUAUCUCAAUUAUCCUAAGGGGAAACCAGUUCCGUUUUAAAGACCUAGUGAUUAAUCACUUAGCUUUCUUGUAUGCAUAACCUCCUCUAGUUGUGUUACCUUUAGUCCUGUACGAUAUUCUCCCUCUGCUAAACGUAGACGAGGAGAGGUUGCUAGAACUCGAGUCCGGAGCUUCUUCUUGCUUCAUCAAAUAAAAUUUCUGUGAUUUAUAUAUUAUAAUUUUCUAUUUGGCUGGUCAAGUAUGCAUUGUCAUAAAUAUCACUCUGCUUCCCUGAUUAUUACCUUAUUCACCUAUUACUUAG